This 166-nucleotide unclassified non-coding RNA is filed under the name soil metagenome. RNAcentral describes it as "partial internal transcribed spacer 1". The record is from RNAcentral.
CCAAAACUUAGCUGCUCCAGUUCAGGCUGGUUGCACGCUUCAACCCUUUGUGAACCAAAAACCUUUACGCUUCGGCAGCUGGUUCCAGCUGUAAGCCUGCCGAUGGCACCCAUUUAAACCUGCCGUUAAAUAUUUGUCUGAACUAAAUAUUUUCGAAUGAAAAUUA